Molecule: ribosomal RNA, 551 nt
Filed under: uncultured Bacteroidales bacterium
Lineage: Bacteria; Pseudomonadati; Bacteroidota; Bacteroidia; Bacteroidales
Description: bacterial SSU rRNA
Rfam family: Bacterial small subunit ribosomal RNA
Source: RNAcentral
GCUUAACACAUGCAAGUCGAGGGGCAGCAUGGUCUUAGCUUGCUAAGGCUGAUGGCGACCGGCGCACGGGUGAGUAACACGUAUCCAACCUGCCGUCUACUCUUGGCCAGCCUUCUGAAAGGAAGAUUAAUCCAGGAUGGGAUCAUGAGUUCACAUGUCCGCAUGAUUAAAGGUAUUUUCCGGUAGACGAUGGGGAUGCGUUCCAUUAGAUAGUAGGCGGGGUAACGGCCCACCUAGUCAACGAUGGAUAGGGGUUCUGAGAGGAAGGUCCCCCACAUUGGAACUGAGACACGGUCCAAACUCCUACGGGAGGCAGCAGUGAGGAAUAUUGGUCAAUGGGCGAUGGCCUGAACCAGCCAAGUAGCGUGAAGGAUGACUGCCCUAUGGGUUGUAAACUUCUUUUAUAAAGGAAUAAAGUCGGGUAUGCAUACCCGUUUGCAUGUACUUUAUGAAUAAGGAUCGGCUAACUCCGUGCCAGCAGCCGCGGUAAUACGGAGGAUCCGAGCGUUAUCCGGAUUUAUUGGGUUUAAAGGGAGCGUAGAUGGAUGUUU